GCAGCUUGCUGCUUUGCUGACGAGUGGCGGACGGGUGAGUAAUGUCUGGGAAACUGCCCGAUGGAGGGGGAUAACUACUGGAAACGGUAGCUAAUACCGCAUAACGUCGCAAGACCAAAGAGGGGGACCUUCGGGCCUCUUGCCAUCGGAUGUGCCCAGAUGGGAUUAGCUAGUAGGUGGGGUAAAGGCUCACCUAGGCGACGAUCCCUAGCUGGUCUGAGAGGAUGACCAGCCACACUGGAACUGAGACACGGUCCAGACUCCUACGGGAGGCAGCAGUGGGGAAUAUUGCACAAUGGGCGCAAGCCUGAUGUAGCCAUGCCGCGUGUAUGAAGAAGGCCUUCGGGUUGU
This 351-nucleotide ribosomal RNA is filed under the name uncultured bacterium. RNAcentral's name for it is "bacterial SSU rRNA". It matches the Rfam family "Bacterial small subunit ribosomal RNA", at positions 75 to 426 of the family's 1533-position model. The record is from RNAcentral.